RNAcentral lists this ribosomal RNA (491 nucleotides) under uncultured bacterium. Its description in RNAcentral is "partial 16S ribosomal RNA". It matches the Rfam family "Bacterial small subunit ribosomal RNA", at positions 29 to 507 of the family's 1533-position model. The record is from RNAcentral.
GUGAACGCUGGCGGUAGGCCUAACACAUGCAAGUCGAACGGCAGCACAGUAAGAGCUUGCUCUUACGGGUGGCGAGUGGCGGACGGGUGAGGAAUACAUCGGAAUCUACUUUUUCGUGGGGGAUAACGUAGGGAAACUUACGCUAAUACCGCAUACGACCUACGGGUGAAAGCAGGGGAUCUUCGGACCUUGCGCGAUUGAAUGAGCCGAUGUCGGAUUAGCUAGUUGGCGGGGUAAAGGCCCACCAAGGCGACGAUCCGUAGCUGGUCUGAGAGGAUGGUCAGCCACACUGGAACUGAGACACGGUCCAGACUCCUACGGGAGGCAGCAGUGGGGAAUAUUGGACAAUGGGCGCAAGCCUGAUCCAGCCAUACCGCGUGGGUGAAGAAGGCCUUCGGGUUGUAAAGCCCUUUUGUUGGGAAAGAAAAGCAGCAGGUUAAUACCCCGCUGUUCUGACGGUACCCAAAGAAUAAGCACCGGCUAACUUCGUG